RNAcentral lists this long non-coding RNA (770 nucleotides) under Rattus norvegicus (Norway rat). RNAcentral describes it as "long non-coding RNA NONRATT007493". The record is from RNAcentral. Lineage: Eukaryota; Metazoa; Chordata; Mammalia; Rodentia; Muridae.
UCAAGGAGUAGGGAUCGGAAAAAAUCUCGAUCCAGAAGCAGAGACAGGAAGAAGUCAAGAUCCAGAAGCAGGGAUAGAAAACGGAGGAUCAGAACACGUUCCCGGUCAAGAUCCAGACACAGGCAUAGGACUAGAAGCAGGAGCAGAUCACGGAGUCGAAGUCGAGAUAGAAAGAAGAGAAUCGAAAAACCAAGAAGAUUUAGCAGAAGCCUAAGCCGGACACCUAGUCCGCCUCCCUUCAGAGGCAGAAACACAGCAAUGGAUGCCCAAGAAGCACUAGCUAGGAGUUAUCACAGUGUAACCUGAUGUGCUGCUGCCCUGUGAAGCCAGCCUGGCAGAAACUCCACUGAACAGCAGCAAAGGUGUGAGCUCACCCCUCCUUCACCCGUUCACCUAGUGAAUGGAGUUGGUUCCGACCUGCAAUGGCCCUGCACAUGCAACCAGUAGUUGUCGUGUUUAGAGCAACGGAGUUACAGAAAUCUAAUUUAUAAUGAUUUGUUUAUUAACUAACAGUAUUUUUGAGCUUUGAAGUUUGCUGUUUCUUAAUCUGUUGUAUUUUCUUUUUUUAACUGUUACUAAGGUAAAAUUACAGGCUGUAUAUCUUUAAUUCUUGCAUCGAGAGGCAGGAGCAUCAAUUCAGAGGCAUUCUUGACUAUGUAAUACUUUGAGGACAGUGUUGGGCCUAUGUAAGACCAAAAAGAAAAACUACAGAGUUGUUACUACUGUCAAGAUUUCUAUUAUAUAGAUCUAUUGUAUAGAUUAUCAGUGAU